GACGAACGCUGGCGGCGUGCUUAACACAUGCAAGUCGAACGGUAAGGCCCCUUCGGGGGUACACGAGUGGCGAACGGGUGAGUAACACGUGAGUAACCUGCCCUUGACACUGGGAUAACAGCUGGAAACAGCUGCUAAUACCGGAUACCAACCCUGAGGACAUCCCCAGGGUUUGAAAGCUCCGGCGGUCAAGGAUGGACUCGCGGCCUAUCAGCUUGUUGGUGAGGUAACGGCUCACCAAGGCGACGACGGGUAGCCGGCCUGAGAGGGCGACCGGCCACAUUGGGACUGAGAUACGGCCCAA
This 304-nucleotide ribosomal RNA is filed under the name uncultured bacterium. RNAcentral's name for it is "bacterial SSU rRNA". It matches the Rfam family "Bacterial small subunit ribosomal RNA", at positions 28 to 334 of the family's 1533-position model. The record is from RNAcentral.